UACGUAGUUAGCCGGGGCUUCUUAGUCAGGUACCGUCAUUAUCUUCCCUGCUGAUAGAGCUUUACAUACCGAAAUACUUCUUCACUCACGCGGCGUCGCUGCAUCAGGGUUUCCCCCAUUGUGCAAUAUUCCCCACUGCUGCCUCCCGUAGGAGUCUGGGCCGUGUCUCAGUCCCAAUGUGGCCGUCCACUCUCUCAAGCCGGCUACUGAUCGUCGCCUUGGUGAGCCGUUACCUCACCAACCAGCUAAUCAGACGCGGGUCCAUCCCAUAGCGAUAAAUCUUUGAAGAAAAGAACAUGCGCUCUCUCCUUGUUAUGCGGUAUUAGCAGCCGUUUCCAGCUGUUGUCCCCCUCUAUGGGGCAGGUUGCCCACGCGUUACUCACCCGUCCGCCACUCAGUCAUUACCAUCUUCCCUCCGAAAAGUUCCGUCGGUAGUGCUUCGUUCGACUUGCAUGUGUUAAGCACGCCGCCAGCGUUCAUCCUGAGCCAGGAUCAAA
RNAcentral lists this ribosomal RNA (497 nucleotides) under uncultured Lachnospiraceae bacterium. RNAcentral's name for it is "partial 16S ribosomal RNA". The record is from RNAcentral. Lineage: Bacteria; Bacillati; Bacillota; Clostridia; Lachnospirales; Lachnospiraceae.